This 340-nucleotide unclassified non-coding RNA is filed under the name soil metagenome. RNAcentral's name for it is "partial contains 5.8S ribosomal RNA, internal transcribed spacer 2, and large subunit ribosomal RNA". The stretch from base 1 to 119 matches the Rfam family "5.8S ribosomal RNA", at positions 36 to 154 of the family's 154-position model. The record is from RNAcentral.
AUGAAGAACGCAGCGAAAUGCGAUAAGUAAUGUGAAUUGCAGAAUUCAGUGAAUCAUCGAAUCUUUGAACGCACAUUGCGCCCGCCAGUAUUCUGGCGGGCAUGCCUGUUCGAGCGUCAUUUCAACCAUCAAGCCCCCGGCUUGUGUUGGGGACCCUGCGGCUGCCCGCAGGCCCUGAAAACCAGUGGCGGGCUCGCUGUCACUCCGAGCGUAGUAGCAUAUAUCUCGCUCAGGGCGUGCUGCGGGUUCCGGCCGUUAAAAGCCUUUUUUUUUUUACCCAAGGUUGACCUCGGAUCAGGUAGGAAGACCCGCUGAACUUAAGCAUAUAAUAAGCGGAGGA